RNAcentral lists this ribosomal RNA (510 nucleotides) under uncultured bacterium. RNAcentral describes it as "partial 16S ribosomal RNA". It matches the Rfam family "Bacterial small subunit ribosomal RNA", at positions 28 to 507 of the family's 1533-position model. The record is from RNAcentral.
GACGAACGCUGGCGGCGUGCUUAACACAUGCAAGUCGAACGAAGAGCGAUGGAAGCUUGCUUCUAUCAAUCUUAGUGGCGCACGGGUGAGUAACGCGUAAUCAACCUGCCCUUCAGAGGGGGACAACAGUUGGAAACGACUGCUAAUACCGCAUACGAUCUAAUCUCGGCAUCGAGGAUAGAUGAAAGGUGGCCUCUACAUGUAAGCUAUCACUGAAGGAGGGGAUUGCGUCUGAUUAGCUAGUUGGAGGGGUAACGGCCCACCAAGGCGACGAUCAGUAGCCGGUCUGAGAGGAUGAACGGCCACAUUGGGACUGAGACACGGCCCAGACUCCUACGGGAGGCAGCAGUGGGGAAUCUUCCGCAAUGGACGAAAGUCUGACGGAGCAACGCCGCGUGAGUGAUGACGGCCUUCGGGUUGUAAAGCUCUGUUAAUCGGGACGAAAGGCCUUCUUGCGAAUAGUGAGAAGGAUUGACGGUACCGGAAUAGAAAGCCACGGCUAACUACGUG